UGUGAUUUACCAUGUGCCCACCUUUCUCAUCUGAUUUCUGAAGCUAAGCAGGGUUGGGCCUGGUUAGUACUGGGAUGGGAGACCCCAGGGAACACCAGGUGCCACAG
RNAcentral lists this ribosomal RNA (107 nucleotides) under Periophthalmus magnuspinnatus. The record is from RNAcentral. Lineage: Eukaryota; Metazoa; Chordata; Actinopteri; Gobiiformes; Gobiidae.